Saccostrea cuccullata (small rock oyster) is the source of this 783-nucleotide long non-coding RNA. RefSeq lists it as uncharacterized. The record is from RefSeq and is a predicted model, not a curated record. The transcript is spliced from 4 exons. Lineage: Eukaryota; Metazoa; Mollusca; Bivalvia; Ostreida; Ostreidae.
AAAUAAGUAUAAUCAUAUUUAAUGCAAAAUACGUCGAGAAUAAUAUAGUUUAAUUGAGAUAAUUAUACGUCCCGUUUAAGAAUAUCGACAUGUAAAAGUAAAUAUGCUUAUACUUAAAGUUUAAGUACAUUUUUGGUAUUUUGAAUAUGUCAUAAAUAAUUCUUUAUACCUAAUGUAAACUUAUGUUGAAACAUUUUUGAAAAAAAAAAUAUUUAGGCACCCUAUUCAUUUUAAUUUAUUUAUUUCUCAUUUUUAUUUAUUUAACCCUUAUGUAGAUUUUUCAAAACUGUGGAAUAUAACUUAGUUUUUUCUCUAUCGACUACCAUUGUACUACAAUUACAUCGGGAUCGAAGUCGGGCUCGAAAAGCAAUUUAUUUAAAAACAACACACCGCGCCGAAAUUCAAUUUUUUGGAGAGUUCCACGCAGCCAUGUUGAACUUGAUCAUGAUGUUGUACGGGAGGAAGGGGCGAAAGAGAGUUACUCGAAAAGGAGAAGCAUGAUAAACUUUGGAUGGAAUUUAUGUUUUAACAGAAGAUGAAGACAUUUACGACCCUGUUUAGCGUUGCAGUGUGGACUGUGCCUGAUACGAAUACCCAUAACGCCGGCUAUGUAGACAGCUUGUGAAAAUGGAAUCCAAAUGCUCACAAGAAAUGACAAAAGCAGUAUGAAGAUUAACACAACGAAAUUGUGCCAGAAAAGUUUGAAGUAGCUAUGGGAAUGAUCAACAUUGAACUUGCUGAGGCUCUCUUCCUGAAAGUGACUUGACCAGAUAUUUGGCUACC